UUUUAGUAACUAUUGUGUGCCAAAAUGCACAGAUCUGGACCAUUGGAUGAAAUAUAAUCAAACUGUAACACCGAAAAUUUUCAUAUAAAAUUUUCGUUUUAAAUUCACUUAAAUUCUCAUAUUACAUUACACAAAAUCCAUCCAAUUAACAAAACACAAAUCUAUCAUUAUUUGAUUAAUAAUUCAGGAUCCUCCAAAACAUUAUUCUUCAUCUCGUGUGUACAAUCGAGCCGUCGCCUUCCUGCGAUCCUAAGAAAAACCUGAAACACAUAACGCAUAACACGGUAAGCACGAAGUUUAGUGAGUUCCCCAAAAUACCACAUACAACUCAUUAGCCACUCGAGGCUAUAACUUUGGAAGACCCUCUUGGUCAAUGUAUCUCUGUGGGACUCUCCAGUCCCACGGCUCGCUAGACCCUCUGGUCCGGUCUCGGUGAGGACCCUCCGGUCUCACAGCUCGUUGGACCCUCCGGUCUGAUCUCAGUGAGAACCCUUCGGUCUCACAGCUCGUUGGACCCUCCGAUCCGGUCUCAGUGAGGACCCUCCGGUCUCACAACUCGUUGGACCCUCCGGUCCGGUCUUAAUAUCACAUAAUAUAACAUAUAUACCCAAGGUUCUAAAUGGCGUGAGACAUGACGUGGCGGCAAGAUCAAUCCUCAAGCUUAACGAGCCGUGGCGAGCCAUGACGUUUUUCAAGGCGUGAUGUAAGGCGGCGAUUUUGUAUUAAUUUAAAAUUAUAUUACCACAUAAAUAUAAAUUUAUACUAAAUAUAACUACUUUUUAAAAGUGUUAGAUCAAUAACUAAUAACAAAAAGUUAACAAAAACCACAAUACUUGUAUGUCCGAUUUGGAAAGACAUAACAAAGCGCAAAAAACUGUGUCUCAAACAAAAAAACACGCGCCAUAACACGCCAUAACGCGCCAUGACGUGCUAUAUCACGCCUUGCUACACGCCACACCUAACGACAACGUUAUGAAGCUUUUUGUAACGGCGAAGCCACGCCUCACGCCAUGGCGCGCCUUUUAGAACACUGUAUAUACCACACCGACAAAUGCACAACUCAAGUAAGCACAUAAGACCAAUAUAUACACAGAUUACAAUAACAACAUAAGUCACAAAGAUAGUAUGCAUGAUAACACAUAACACAUUAUAAACAAGUAAGACCCUCUGAUCGAUAAUGUAUUAAGACCCUCCGAUCAAUAGUGUAAAUAAGACCCUCCGGUCAAUAACACAAAUAAGACCCACUGGUCACACACAAGUCACCACACAGGUAAGUAUAGUGAGAAGACUCACCUCGGAUGACGAACAGAUCCCAUAAAUGCUGUUGUUGUACACCAGCUUCUAACACUGUGCCAAACCCACAAAUAAUCUCAUUAGGAUCCAAGACCAAACCUUCACAUAUUAGGUCUAAAUAUGGUCCACCAAUCCGGCCCAUAAAUAACUCAAGCCCAUUUGGCCCACCAAGGCCCAAUACCAAAUGGGUCCACAAAGGUCCACUAAUGGCCUCACUAUGGCCCAAUUUUCCAAAUUGGGCUCAAACCCUCAUAUGGGCCUUACCCUACAACCCAUCUAAAUAUUCUGGUCCACAUAAUUAUUCUUGGGUGGCCCAUCAAUAGCCCAAUCACCAAAGCCCAAAAGAAAGGACCAAGCAAAAUUAGGGUUUUCACAUAAAAUGACAAUUAGGGUUAAGUGUUUCUCACUUAACCCAUUAAGUCCAUCACUCCACUAGCCCAUUCACACAAUAAAAUUGGACAUAAUUCACAAUAUCAAUCUAACAAUCCAACUGCGGGUCCUGGUAAAAUCCAAACUAACAAACCCAAAAAUUAGGGUUUUCUAAACCCUAAUUAGGGUUUCUAGCCCAAUCAUGAACCAACCCAGUCCAAAAUUAAGUGUUUAGGUCCAUUAGGGUUCCACUAGGCCGGGUACCACCCACUGCCACCUCGGGCUGUGGUGGUCAGCGGCAGCUCAUGGCGGCAGGCGGCGGAGGCCACCAUUACUAGUCAUGGUGGUGGUGGUUCCCGCCCAAAAGUGCUCAAACAUCCUCACACUUAAAAUUCACACGCAUACAACCACCAACCAUGGCGGCUGGUGGCGGCAGAAAGCGGCAAUGGGUGGCAACCACCACCUUGAGAUGGUGGUGGUGGAUUUUCUGAUCCACUAAGUUGCAUAUAACACCUCAAACACCGAGAAUAGCAAAAAUACUCGAUCAUACACUUACUCAGCAACCUCACAGGCGGCUGUCAUAACCGGAAUGGGUAGGAACGGUGGCCAUAAGGUCACCGGCGGCAGGCUGUGACGUUCCACAACAUCCAAACAACAAAAACGAAGAAGAUGAAAGAAGAUGGGUGGCUAGCGGUCUUACCUAAGCUUUCUCUUCGCGCACUAAUUGCACAACGACAUACACACGAACUACUCAACUGGUCUCGGUAGUUCUCCGAUGGCACACAACCCCUCCGGUAGCAGGCGUCGCGUUGGCGUCAUUCGUCAGCACUGAAGUGGCGGCGACGGCUCCUGGCGUUGCAACGGCGAUAGAUUGCACUCCCAUGGCGGCGGCUGUAGAUUCGUGCCCUAGGGUUAGGCUUGAGUCGCAUAAACGGGAGGGAAAUAGAACACAGAUAGAUCCCGCUCCCUUCCAAACUUUCCUUCGUUUUUAUCACAUUUAGCCCCUCCUUACCAUAUCUUCUUCAAACUAAGUCCAAAACUUACCUAAUA
Molecule: long non-coding RNA, 2712 nt
Filed under: Lactuca sativa (garden lettuce)
Lineage: Eukaryota; Viridiplantae; Streptophyta; Magnoliopsida; Asterales; Asteraceae
Description: long non-coding RNA (LSAT_LNC001508)
Source: RNAcentral